Molecule: ribosomal RNA, 207 nt
Filed under: uncultured bacterium
Lineage: Bacteria
Description: partial 16S ribosomal RNA
Rfam family: Bacterial small subunit ribosomal RNA
Source: RNAcentral
CACGUAGGCGGCCUGUUAAGUGUGGAGUGAAAUCCCACGGCUCACCCGUGGAACUGCUUCGCAUACUUGCAAGCUCGAGGACGGUAGGGGAGAGCGGAACUCUUGGUGGAGCGGUGAAAUGCGUAGAUAUCAAGAGGAACACCGAUGGCGAAGGCAGCUCUCUGGUCCGUUUCUGACGCUGAGGUGCGAAAGCUAGGGUAGCGAACG